RNAcentral lists this ribosomal RNA (488 nucleotides) under uncultured bacterium. Its description in RNAcentral is "bacterial SSU rRNA". It matches the Rfam family "Bacterial small subunit ribosomal RNA", at positions 28 to 533 of the family's 1533-position model. The record is from RNAcentral.
GAUGAACGCUGGCGGCGUGCUUAAUACAUGCAAGUCGAACGGAGACUGUAGCAAUACUGUCUUAGUGGCGAACGGGUGAGUAACGCGUUGGUGACCUGCCCCGAAGAGGGGGAUAACAGUCCGAAAGGAUUGCUAAUACCCCAUGUGGUCGUUUGGAUUAGAUGCCUUACGACUAAACGGAUUUAUUCGCUUCGGGAGGGGCCUGCGUCCCAUCAGCUAGUUGGUAGGGUAAUAGCCUACCAAGGCGAUGACGGGUAGGGGACCUGAGAGGGUGGCCCCCCACAAUGGAACUGAAACACGGUCCAUACACCUACGGGUGGCAGCAGUAGGGAAUAUUGGUAAUCUGGGAAACCGGGAACCAGCAACGCCGCGUGCGCGAUGAAGGCCUUCGGGUUGUAAAGCGCUUUUUAAAGGGAUGAGGAAGGACAGUACCUUUAGAAUAAGCCUCGGCUAACUACGUGCCAGCAGCCGCGGUAAAAUCAUGUGUA